ACUCCUGCGGGAGGCAGCAGUGGGGAAUUUUGGACAAUGGGCGAAAGCCUGAUCCAGCAAUGCCGCGUGUGUGAAGAAGGCCUUCGGGUUGUAAAGCACUUUUGUCCGGAAAGAAAUCCUUGGCUCUAAUACAGUCGGGGGAUGACGGUACCGGAAGAAUAAGCACCGGCUAACUACGUGCCAGCAGCCGCGGUAAUACGUAGGGUGCGAGCGUUAAUCGGAAUUACUGGGCGUAAAGCGUGCGCAGGCGGUUUGCUAAGACCGAUGUGAAAUCCCCGGGCUCAACCUGGGAACUGCAUUGGUGACUGGCAGGCUAGAGUAUGGCAGAGGGGGGUAGAAUUCCACGUGUAGCAGUGAAAUGCGUAGAGAUGUGGAGGAAUACCGAUGGCGAAGGCAGCCCCCUGGGCCAAUACUGACGCUCAUGCACGAAAGCGUGGGGAGCAAACAGGAUUAGAAACCCCUGUAGUCCCAUGA
Molecule: ribosomal RNA, 474 nt
Filed under: uncultured organism
Description: partial 16S ribosomal RNA
Rfam family: Bacterial small subunit ribosomal RNA
Source: RNAcentral